UCUGUCUUACUUUGGGCCCGACACCUC
This 27-nucleotide non-coding RNA is filed under the name Mus musculus (house mouse). Lineage: Eukaryota; Metazoa; Chordata; Mammalia; Rodentia; Muridae. The record is from RNAcentral.